GAGCGAAUGGAUUAAGAGCUUGCUCUUAUGAAGUUAGCGGCGGACGGGUGAGUAACACGUGGGUAACCUGCCCAUAAGACUGGGAUAACUCCGGGAAACCGGGGCUAAUACCGGAUAACAUUUUGAACCGCAUGGUUCGAAAUUGAAAGGCGGCUUCGGCUGUCACUUAUGGAUGGACCCGCGUCGCAUUAGCUAGUUGGUGAGGUAACGGCUCACCAAGGCAACGAUGCGUAGCCGACCUGAGAGGGUGAUCGGCCACACUGGGACUGAGACACGGCCCAGACUCCUACGGGAGGCAGCAGUAGGGAAUCUUCCGCAAUGGACGAAAGUCUGACGGAGCAACGCCGCGUGAGUGAUGAAGGCUUUCGGGUCGUAAAACUCUGUUGUUAGGGAAGAACAAGUGCUAGUUGAAUAAGCUGGCACCUUGACGGUACCUAACCAGAAAGCCACGGCUAACUACGUGCCAGCAGCCGCGGUAAUACGUAGGUGGCAAGCGUUAUCCGGAAUUAUUGGGCGUAAAGCGCGCGCAGGUGGUUUCUUAAGUCUGAUGUGAAAGCCCACGGCUCAACCGUGGAGGGUCAUUGGAAACUGGGAGACUUGAGUGCAGAAGAGGAAAGUGGAAUUCCAUGUGUAGCGGUGAAAUGCGUAGAGAUAUGGAGGAACACCAGUGGCGAAGGCGACUUUCUGGUCUGUAACUGACACUGAGGCGCGAAAGCGUGGGGGAGCAAACAGGAUUAGAUACCCUGGUAGUCCACGCCGUAAACGAUGAGUGCUAAGUGUUAGAGGGUUUCCGCCCUUUAGUGCUGAAGUUAACGCAUUAAGCACUCCGCCUGGGGAGUACGGCCGCAGGCUGAAACUCAAAGGAAUUGAC
RNAcentral lists this ribosomal RNA (871 nucleotides) under Bacillus sp. JC275. RNAcentral describes it as "bacterial SSU rRNA". It matches the Rfam family "Bacterial small subunit ribosomal RNA", at positions 64 to 914 of the family's 1533-position model. The record is from RNAcentral. Lineage: Bacteria; Bacillati; Bacillota; Bacilli; Caryophanales; Bacillaceae.